GACGAACGCUGGCGGCGUGCUUAACACAUGCAAGUCGAACGGAAAGGCCCUGCUUUUGUGGGGUGCUCGAGUGGCGAACGGGUGAGUAACACGUGAGUAACCUGCCCUUGACUUUGGGAUAACUUCAGGAAACUGGGGCUAAUAACGGAUAGGAGCUCCUGCUGCAUGGUGGGGGUUGGAAAGUUUCGGCGGUUGGGGAUGGACUCGCGGCUUAUCAGCUUGUUGGUGGGGUAGUGGCUUACCAAGGCUUUGACGGGUAGCCGGCCUGAGAGGGUGACCGGCCACAUUGGGCCUGAGAUACGGCCCAGACUCCUACGGGAGGCAGCAGUGGGGAAUAUUGCACAAUGGGCGGAAGCCUGAUGCAGCAACGCCGCGUGCGGGAUGACGGCCUUCGGGUUGUAAACCGCUUUCGCCUGUGACGAAGCGUGAGUGACGGUAAUGGGUAAAGAAGCACCGGCUAACUCCGUG
RNAcentral lists this ribosomal RNA (468 nucleotides) under uncultured bacterium. RNAcentral's name for it is "partial 16S ribosomal RNA". It matches the Rfam family "Bacterial small subunit ribosomal RNA", at positions 28 to 507 of the family's 1533-position model. The record is from RNAcentral.